RNAcentral lists this transfer RNA (106 nucleotides) under Microcaldota archaeon. RNAcentral describes it as "Candidatus Micrarchaeota archaeon (hot springs metagenome) tRNA-OTHER". It matches the Rfam family "tRNA". Rfam says of the family: Transfer RNA (tRNA) molecules are approximately 80 nucleotides in length. Their secondary structure includes four short double-helical elements and three loops (D, anti-codon, and T loops). Lineage: Archaea; Nanobdellati; Microcaldota. The record is from RNAcentral.
GGGGGUAUGGCGUAACCUGGCAGCGCGGCAGACUACGCAGAGUAAGCCGAAGCUCCAGACCAGCCAGGGAAACCUGCAAGUUGGGGUUCGAAUCCCCAUGCCCCCA